RNAcentral lists this ribosomal RNA (318 nucleotides) under Triticum aestivum (bread wheat). Its description in RNAcentral is "partial small subunit ribosomal RNA". Lineage: Eukaryota; Viridiplantae; Streptophyta; Magnoliopsida; Poales; Poaceae. The record is from RNAcentral.
AUGCAUGCACCCAUGUCCAAGUGCACAGCUUUCUUAUGGAGAAUGAUACUCUUUUUUGGUGAAGUUUUUAGCAUUACAAGUUCAAAACCAAAAAACAAAGAAAUGCUUACAGAUCUUAAACGUGGUGACACAAGUUCAUAUGAAAUGUGGCUGAGGCCGCAAUGGUAUAGUACUCCCUCCGAUCCAUAUUAUUUGCCGCUCAAACGUUUAGAUCCAUAUUACUUGUCACUCAAAUGGAUGUAUCUAGAUUCAUAUCAGUUGUCACUCAAAAGGAUGUAUCAAGUAAUAUGGAUAGGAGGGACUACUUGUUUUGGUUGA